This 356-nucleotide long non-coding RNA is filed under the name Dermacentor andersoni. RNAcentral's name for it is "uncharacterized LOC126533557". The record is from RNAcentral. Lineage: Eukaryota; Metazoa; Arthropoda; Arachnida; Ixodida; Ixodidae.
AGGUCGGGUGGGUGGAUUUCGAGGCAGGCAGCAGCUCUCAUGGAACUCCCAGCAGUGACACCUCUGAAACGCCACAACAGACAGAUUCGCAGGAACCGGAAGUGGAGGCUCCAUAUAGAAGGCAAGGAACUUGCUGUGGAAUGAGGUGUGUUGAAAUUGUUGGAGGUAUAUACAAUAAUUUUAAUCUUUCCGCAGUGCAUCAAGGCCACGAAAGUAUCGAAGGACUUCAAGAAGCCAGAAGACUCCUUGCGACGAUGACUCUGGGACACUGGCUGUGGCAGCUGAGUGUCUUAGCCCUUAGCCACAUAAAGGCAUCACAAGAAAAAAGGGAGCAGCAGAAAGACGUACUCCAUUUU